Molecule: ribosomal RNA, 468 nt
Filed under: uncultured bacterium
Lineage: Bacteria
Description: partial 16S ribosomal RNA
Rfam family: Bacterial small subunit ribosomal RNA
Source: RNAcentral
GACGAACGCUGGCGGCGUGCUUAACACAUGCAAGUCGAACGGAAAGGCCCUGCUUUUGUGGGGUGCUCGAGUGGCGAACGGGUGAGUAACACGUGAGUAACCUGCCCUUGACUUUGGGAUAACUUCAGGAAACUGGGGCUAAUACCGGAUAGGAGCUCCUGCUGCAUGGUGGGGGUUGGAAAGUUUCGGCGGUUGGGGAUGGACUCGCGGCUUAUCAGCUUGUUGGUGGGGUAGUGGCUUACCAAGGCUUUGACGGGUAGCCGGCCUGAGAGGGUGACCGGCCACAUUGGGACUGAGCGACGGCCCGGCCUCCUCCGGGCGGCAGCAGUGGGGAUUCUUGCACACUGGGCGGGAGCCUGAUGCCGCACCGCCGCGUGCCGGAUGACGGCCUUCGGGUUGUAAACCGCUUUCGCCUGUGACUAAGCGUGAGUGACGGUAAUGGGUAAAGAGGCACCGGCUAACUACGUG